RNAcentral lists this ribosomal RNA (253 nucleotides) under uncultured bacterium. RNAcentral describes it as "partial 16S ribosomal RNA". It matches the Rfam family "Bacterial small subunit ribosomal RNA", at positions 524 to 776 of the family's 1533-position model. The record is from RNAcentral.
UACGUAGGGGGCGAGCGUUGUCCGGAUUUACUGGGCGUAAAGCGCGUGUAGGCGGAAGCCUAAGUCCGAUCUGAAAGCCCCUGGCUCAACCAGGGAUCCGGACCGGAAACUGGGCUUCUUGAGGACGGCAGGGGAGUGUGGAAUUCCUGGUGUAGCGGUGAAAUGCGUAGAGAUCAGGAGGAACACCCAUGGCGAAGGCAGCACUCUGGACCGGACCUGACGCUGAGACGCGAAAGCGUGGGGAGCGAACGGG